ACCGAAUGGCCAGCGUUUUCA
RNAcentral lists this non-coding RNA (21 nucleotides) under Arabidopsis thaliana (thale cress). Lineage: Eukaryota; Viridiplantae; Streptophyta; Magnoliopsida; Brassicales; Brassicaceae. The record is from RNAcentral.